RNAcentral lists this non-coding RNA (23 nucleotides) under Cricetulus griseus (Chinese hamster). Lineage: Eukaryota; Metazoa; Chordata; Mammalia; Rodentia; Cricetidae. The record is from RNAcentral.
CAACCUGAAGCCUGUCAAGACGC